Molecule: ribosomal RNA, 449 nt
Filed under: uncultured bacterium
Lineage: Bacteria
Description: partial 16S ribosomal RNA
Rfam family: Bacterial small subunit ribosomal RNA
Source: RNAcentral
GAUGAACGCUGGCGGCAUGCCUAACACAUGCAAGUCGAACGAGACCUUCGGGUCUAGUGGCGCACGGGUGCGUAUCGCGUGGGAAUCUGCCCCUCGGUUCGGAAUAACAGUUAGAAAUGACUGCUAAUACCGGAUAAUGACUUCGGUCCAAAGAUUUAUCGCCGAGGGAUGAGCCCGCGUAAGAUUAGGUAGUUGGUGGGGUAAAGGCCUACCAAGCCGACGAUCUUUAGCUGGUCUGAGAGGAUGAUCAGCUACACUGGGACUGAGACACGGCCCAGACUCCUACGGUAGGCAGCAGUGGGGAAUAUUGGACAAUGGGCGAAAGCCUGAUCCAGCAAUGCCGCGUGAGUGAUGAAGGCCUUAGGGUUGUAAAGCUCUUUUACCAGGGAUGAUAAUGACAGUACCUGGAGAAUAAGCUCCGGCUAACUCCGUGCCAGCCGCCGCCGUAA